This 248-nucleotide ribosomal RNA is filed under the name uncultured prokaryote. Its description in RNAcentral is "partial 16S ribosomal RNA". It matches the Rfam family "Bacterial small subunit ribosomal RNA", at positions 524 to 772 of the family's 1533-position model. The record is from RNAcentral.
UACGUAGGGGACGAGCGUUGUCCGGAAUUACUGGGCGUAAAGGGCGCGCAGGCUGUGCUGCAAGUCAGCUGUGAAAUGUCUGGGCUUAACCCGGGCAUGCGGUUGAGACUGCAGUGCUGGAGUGCUGUAGCGGCAAGUGGAAUUCCCAGUGUAGCGGUGAAAUGCGUAGAUAUUGGGAAGAACACCGGUGGCGAAGGCGACUUGCUGGGCAGCAACUGACGCUGAGGCGCGAAAGCCAGGGGAGCAAA